Molecule: signal recognition particle RNA, 267 nt
Filed under: Planctomycetota bacterium
Lineage: Bacteria; Pseudomonadati; Planctomycetota
Also listed under: 2 other names
Description: signal recognition particle sRNA large type
Rfam family: Bacterial large signal recognition particle RNA
About the family: The signal recognition particle (SRP) is a universally conserved ribonucleoprotein involved in the co-translational targeting of proteins to membranes. Archaeal SRP consists of a 7S RNA and homologues of the eukaryotic SRP19 and SRP54 proteins.
Source: RNAcentral
CCGUGCUAAAUGGGGAGCUAGCGGUUCCUUGUAACCUGAAAUCCGCUUAUGCAGGGUUGACCGCUUUUUUGAGGUUUUCCUGACUGCUGGCGCUGUUCAGGUAAGUGGCGAUGAAGGCUGGGUCUCAUGCAAUAAGUCCAUGUGAACCUGGUCAGAUGCGGAAGCAAGCAGCCAUAAGCAUCGGUUCUUAUGUGCCUUGAGGGCGCCUGGUCUGAGCCAACUGCCUGGAUGGGUUAACAGAAAGAAAAAUCGAGAAAAAGUGCACGG